GAUGAACGCUGGCGGCGUGCCUAAUACAUGCAAGUCGAGCGAACAGACGAGGAGCUUGCUCCUCUGACGUUAGCGGCGGACGGGUGAGUAACACGUGGAUAACCUACCUAUAAGACUGGGAUAACUUCGGGAAACCGGAGCUAAUACCGGAUAAUAUAUUGAACCGCAUGGUUCAAUAGUGAAAGACGGUUUUGCUGUCACUUAUAGAUGGAUCCGCGCCGCAUUAGCUAGUUGGUAAGGUAACGGCUUACCAAGGCAACGAUGCGUAGCCGACCUGAGAGGGGGAUCGGCCACACUGGAACUGAGACACGGUCCAGACUCCUACGGGAGGCAGCAGUAGGGAAUCUUCCGCAAUGGGCGAAAGCUUGACGGAGCAACGCCGCGUGAGUGAUGAAGGUCUUCGGAUCGUAAAACUCUGUUAUUAGGGAAGAACAAAUGUGUAAGUAACUAUGCACGUCUUGACGGUACCUAAUCAGAAAGCCACGGCUAACUACGU
This 496-nucleotide ribosomal RNA is filed under the name uncultured bacterium. Its description in RNAcentral is "partial 16S ribosomal RNA". It matches the Rfam family "Bacterial small subunit ribosomal RNA", at positions 28 to 506 of the family's 1533-position model. The record is from RNAcentral.